Molecule: unclassified non-coding RNA, 255 nt
Filed under: uncultured fungus
Lineage: Eukaryota; Fungi
Description: sequence contains ITS1, 5.8S rRNA gene
Rfam family: 5.8S ribosomal RNA (bases 207-255)
Source: RNAcentral
UCUCCGUUGGUGAACCAGCGGAGGGAUCAUUGCUGGAACGCGCCCCUGGCGCACCCAGAAACCCUUUGUGAACUUAUACCUUACUGUUGCCUCGGCGCAGGCCGUCCCCCAUGGGGUCCCUCUGGAGACAGAGGAGCAGCCGGCCGGUGGCCAAAUUAACUCUGUUUUUACACUGAAACUCUGAGUACAAUACAUAAAUGAAUCAAAACUUUCAACAACGGAUCUCUUGGUUCUGGCAUCGAUGAAGAACGCAGC